RNAcentral lists this ribosomal RNA (484 nucleotides) under uncultured bacterium. RNAcentral describes it as "bacterial SSU rRNA". It matches the Rfam family "Bacterial small subunit ribosomal RNA", at positions 28 to 498 of the family's 1533-position model. The record is from RNAcentral.
GAUGAACGCUAGCGGCAGGCUUAAUACAUGCAAGUCGAGGGGCAUCAAGGUACACGAAAGUGUAUUGUUGGCGACCGGCGGACGGGUGAGUAAUAGGUAGGUAACCUACCUCAUACUGAGGCAUAGCUGGGAGAAAUUCCAGGUAAUUCCUCAUGAGGUUAUAUGACACAUGUGAUAUAAUCAAAGGUAUCGCAAGGUACUGGUAUGAGAUGGGCUUACUGACCAUUAGCUAGUUGGUGAGAUAAGAGCUCACCAAGGCGAAGAUGGUUAGGGGUUUUGAGAGAGAGAUCCCCCACAUUGGAACUGAGAUACGGUCCAGACUCCUACGGGAGCAGCAGUAGGGAAUAUUGGGCAAUGGGCGGAAGCCUGACCCAGCCAUGCCGCGUGAAGGAAGACGGCCUUAUGGUUGUAAACUUCUUUACUAUGCGACUAACUAGAUUUACGAGAUAAUCUAUAGAAUGUAGCAUAGCAAAAAGCACCGGUA